CAAAAGACUUGAAGCAAUUUUA
This 22-nucleotide microRNA is filed under the name Monodelphis domestica (gray short-tailed opossum). Its description in RNAcentral is "Mdo-Mir-7262-P5_5p* (star (passenger))". Lineage: Eukaryota; Metazoa; Chordata; Mammalia; Didelphimorphia; Didelphidae. The record is from RNAcentral.